GGUAGAGCGUGUACUAUUUUUGUCCUCACCCACAUUCAUGUUUUUCUCCUUCACUGAUUCAACAAGCACAUAUAGAGCUGUGUGCCAGACUUGGCAUGAGGUGUUGAAGAUGCAGAGAUGAAGAAGCCACAGUCUCUGCCCUCAAGAAGCAUACAGUCAGCCUGCGCUCCUUAGUUCUGGGGUAGAGAAAGUGCUGGAGGUCUUUCCUGAGGACACGGUUCUCCCAGUUCCCUUUCCAGGGCUCGCUUCUCUCCUUCUCCCAGAGGGACAUCCUGAUGUGGCUCUUCUGUUGAUACAGGCCCCACACUGCUGACUCUGCUCCCCUGACCUGGGAGGUGAUGGCCUCCAACUCUGAGGUCCCCACAGACCAGCAUCCUCUAGUCAAUCCUUCCUAUCCCUGUCAGAGCCCACAAACCACCCACACCCUUUCCACAGGAUCAACCCAAGACCUCGCUUUACUGCCCACUAGCCACAUAGCUCCUGGGGAAGCCUUUCCCUGUCUCUCUCCAGUUGCACCCCAUCCUGUGUUCCUAAACCCUACUGAUUGGUCUUCUGGGCUCCCACUGUCCAUGUGGGUGAUGGGGAGGGACCUAACAUCGGUUGGGUAUGACUUGCAGACUUUGAAAUCUCCCUUCCCUCCUGGAAGCCCCUCUGAAAGUGUCUUUGACUUUCUCUACUUCCCACUUUGACCACCUUGAUGGAGAGAUCAGGAAGUGAAAUGAUGGGGGUGGCCAAUUCAUCCUGAUUUGUUUAGAUUUUCCCAGUUUUAACACUGAAAGUCCUCUAUCCUGAAAACCCUUCCGUUACAAGGAAACUCGGAUGGUUGGUCACCCUAAAUGGGUCAUCCAGGAGAAAUGGUGGGCCAGUGGAAGUGGUGAGUGGUUGGAGGGGUGGCUUUGAUUCUCUCCCAACUUGCUUUUAGAGUCCAUUGAAGAGAAGAAGAGAGCAGACAUUUGUCGGGAAACUCCUAACAUAUGCCCCCAUUCUGGAGAGAACACAGAGUACGACACAAUCCCUCACACUAAUGUGAGUCCCUUCUCAUCUUUCCUGAGAACUGAUCCUGUCUCUGAGGCUCUCCUUGUGAGGUUUUUCCAUGGGUUUGGACAACAUGGGAAUGAAGAGGGGAGUGAGGAUAUAUAGACUUAAAACUCAAUGCACCUGUGCCUCCUCCAAGUCUUCAUGGAUUCUCUUCUGGGCAGAAGAAGCUGGUGGUCUCUGGAGCACCUGGUUCUGACUCACGAUGCUCAUGCUGUGGUCUGUGAAAUCACCUGCUCCCCUCCACAGUUCAUAACGGCCACACAAAAGGCCAGAUUCCUUUUGCAUAAGGCAGUGGGUAGAAGAGUGUGACUUUGACAGGAUGUUUGAAUCAUGGUAUCAGAAGACUUCUCUAGAGAUCUCUCUCUCUCUCUCUCUCUCUCUCUCUCUAUAUAUAUAUAUAUAUAUAUAUAUAUAUACACACACACUAUAUAUAUUAUUAUAUAUAUAUAAUGUUUUUGAAAUUCAUUUAAACACAGUACAGUUUAAAAAUAAUGUAAUGGCUUCCUGAAAAAAGUUAUCAAAAUUUAUUAUAAUAGCAGUCACCAACAAGAGAACUUCCUACCUCCCUUCCCUGUUCCAGAACCCUCCUUUUCCUCUCACAUCUCCUCCCAUCUCUGCUUUCCCCUCUCUGGAUUCUGAAUGUCUCUCUGGCCUUGUCUAUGUGAUUCAGGAGGUGGGUGAUGAUUUCUUUUGUUUGUUGUUUGUUUUUAAUAGAGAACAAUCCUAAAGGAAGAUCCAGCAAAUACAGUUUACUCCACUGUGGAAAUACCAAAAAAGAUGGAAAAUCCCCACUCACUGCUCACGAUGCCAGACACACCAAGGCUAUUUGCCUAUGAGAAUGUUAUCUAGACAGCAGUGCACUCCCCUAAGUCUCUGCUCAAAAAAAAAAAAACAAUUCUCGGCCCAAAGAAAACAAUCAGAAGAAUUCACUGAUUUGACUAGAAACAUCAAGGAAGAAUGAAGAACGUUGACUUUUUUCCAGGAUAAACUAUCUCUGAUGCUUCUUUAGAUUUAAGAGUUCAUAAUUCCAUCCACUGCUGAGAAAUCUCCUCAAACCCAGAAGGUUUAACCACCUCAUCCCAAAAAUGGGAUUGUGAAUGUCAGCAAACCAUAAAAAAAGUGCUUAGAAGUGUUCCUAUAAAAAUGUAAAUGCAAGGUCACACAUAUUAAUGACAGCCUGUUGUAUUAAUGAUGGCUCCAGGUCAGUGUCUGGAGUUUCAUUCCAUCCCAGGGCUUGGAUGUCAGGAUUAUACCAAGAGUCUUGUUACCAGGAGGGCAAGAAGACCAAAACACACAGACAAGUCCAGCAGAAGCAGAUGCACCUGACAAAAAUGGAUGUAUUAAUUGGCUCUAUAAACUAUGUGCCCAGCACUAUGCUGAGCUUACACUAAUUGGUCAGACCUGCUGUCUGCCCUCAUGAAAUUGGCUCCAAAUGAAUGAACUACUUUCAUGAGCAGUUGUAGCAGGCCUGACCACAGAUUCCCAGAGGGCCAGGUGUGGAUCCACAGGACUUGAAGGUCAAAGUUCACAAAGAUGAAGAAUCAGGGUAGCUGACCAUGUUUGGCAGAUACUAUAAUGGAGACACAGAAGUGUGCAUGGCCCAAGGACAAGGACCUCCAGCCAGGCUUCAUUUAUGCACUUGUGCUGCAAAAGAAAAGUCUAGGUUUUAAGGCUGUGCCAGAACCCAUCCCAAUAAAGAGACCGAGUCUGAAGUCACAUUGUAAAUCUAGUGUAGGAGACUUGGAGUCAGGCGGUGAGACUGGUGGGGCACAGGGGGCGGUGGGUACUUGUAAACCUUUAAAGAUGGUUAAUUCAUUCAAUAGAUAUUUAUUAAGAACCUAUGCGGCCCGGCAUGGUGGCUCACACCUGUAAUCCCAGCACUUUGGGAGGCCAAGGUGGGUGGGUCAUCUGAGGUCAGGAGUUCAAGACCAGCCUGGCCAACAUGGUGAAACCCCAUCUCUACUAAAGAUACAAAAAUUUGCUGAGCGUGCUGGCGUGCACCUGUAAUCCCAGCUACUCGAGAGGCCAAGGCAUGAGAAUCACUUGAACCUGGGAGGUGGAGGUUGCAGUGAGCUGAGAUGGCACCACUGCACUCCGGCCUAGGCAACGAGAGCAAAACUCCAAUACAAACAAACAAACAAACAAACACCUGUGCUAGGUCAGUCUGGCACGUAAGAUGAACAUCCCUACCAACACAGAGCUCACCAUCUCUUAUACUUAAGUGAAAAACAUGGGGAAGGGGAAAGGGGAAUGGCUGCUUUUGAUAUGUUCCCUGACACAUAUCUUGAAUGGAGACCUCCCUACCAAGUGUUGAAAGUGUUGAAAAACUUAAUAACAAAUGCUCGUUGGGCAAGAAUGGGAUUGAGGAUUAUCUUCUCUCAGAAAGGCAUUGUGAAGGAAGUGAGCCAGAUCUCUCUCCCUACUGCAAAACCCUAUUGUAGUAAAAAAGUCUUCUUUACUAUCUUAAUAAAACAGAUAUUGUGAGAUUCACAUACAAAAA
Molecule: small RNA, 3538 nt
Filed under: Pan troglodytes (chimpanzee)
Lineage: Eukaryota; Metazoa; Chordata; Mammalia; Primates; Hominidae
Description: retained intron
Source: RNAcentral